This is a long non-coding RNA of Neofelis nebulosa (Clouded leopard), 1220 nucleotides long. RefSeq lists it as uncharacterized. The record is from RefSeq and is a predicted model, not a curated record. NCBI's taxonomy places the organism in Eukaryota, Metazoa, Chordata, Mammalia, Carnivora, Felidae. The transcript is spliced from 2 exons.
AAAAGGGGGUGCACCGUUCCUGGAAGUACUGCAAUACCAGGUCGAUGCGUGGAGUGGACGGAGCAAGCUCCUAUUCCAUCUCCUAAUUCCAAAAAUCCAUUUAAUAUAUUGUCCUCGGAUAGAGGACGUAUCAGAUAUUAAACUGAUAAGAACAGAUACUACACUUGAUCUUAGCCAAAAGGCCGAGAAGCGAUGCAGUUGCAGCCGCCUCCUGGCAACCCUUACCCUUACUAUAGCUUUUACGAUUGUGGCGAUUUUUAUGACAUAAUUAUUAGGUUACCUUGAAAUAUGUAAUAUUUCUCAAAUUCAACGUCUCAUUAUCCUUCCUUUAUAAUAAUAGCUAGAUUUUUUUUAAAAAGAGAUCUUAAAUAGUGGUCUUUGCUGCAUUGCCUGCCUGUACACGCUCCGCUUGUUUUACAUAACCCUGCCCUGCCAAUGAUUUUCUUUCUUGGGAUUGGUCCACAUACAAGUCUGGAUUUCAAUAUGGGCGUGGUCUCUUUGCCUCCCAGACUCGGGCCUGUCUGCCCGCCUGCAGGCCGCGCGGCGCUCUCGGGCUCCCCUCCCUUCCGCGCCUCCUCCUUGACUGUACCAUCCACCCGCAAACCACUUACAUCUUGCCGUUUACGACGCAUCGUCCACCGUGCGCCCUUCACACAAGGAAACAGAUGCCCAGACAAAGGCGUUUUGGAGGGUCCCGAUUCCUAAACCCAGGUGGAAGAGACAGGCUGAGGCCAGUGUAGAUAAAAUGUAAACGAAGCAGUUCUUUUGUAGGCUCAAGGCGAAGUCCGGCUGUAUGAAAAGGAUUGAUGAUCAGGCGGGAACUGAGAAAGGACUUGAGGUCCCGUUUCCUUGGAAACUAUAUUAAUAUAAAUGUGGAGCGUUCUUUUUUUUUUUUUUUUUUUUUUUCUAAUGUGGAACAUUCUGUUGUUGGAAAUCCCCUUCACUGAAGCUCUACGCCCGGGCUGGAAAUAGAGGCCGUUGUCUCUGUGUCAAGGUGACUAGGUGGGGUGGGACCUUCUGUUCUCACUGACAGGCUUUCAACUAGCAAAAUUUCUAUAAUCUAUGAUUUUAGAGAACAAGGUUCUCAGCAUUGUGUCCCUGAUGCUAAUAAACAGGCAGUUUGUAAAGGUUCCCAUAUGUAAAUCCAGAGCCUCCAGGGAGGGCUGAAUUAAGGUGUGGCCGGUAGAAUACUGCCCCCAAUAAAGAUACUCCCGUGCUAA